This 492-nucleotide ribosomal RNA is filed under the name uncultured bacterium. RNAcentral describes it as "partial 16S ribosomal RNA". It matches the Rfam family "Bacterial small subunit ribosomal RNA", at positions 29 to 507 of the family's 1533-position model. The record is from RNAcentral.
AGUGAACGCUGGCGGUAGGCCUAACACAUGCAAGUCGAACGGCAGCACAGUAAGAGCUUGCUCUUACGGGUGGCGAGUGGCGGACGGGUGAGGCAUACAUCGGAAUCUACUUUUUCGUGGGGGAUAACGUAGGGAAACUUACGCUAAUACCGCAUACGACCUACGGGUGAAAGCAGGGGAUCUUCGGACCUUGCGCGAUUGAAUGAGCCGAUGUCGGAUUAGCUAGUUGGCGGGGUAAAGGCCCACCAAGGCGACGAUCCGUAGCUGGUCUGAGAGGAUGAUCAGCCACACUGGAACUGAGACACGUUCCAGACUCCUACGGGAGGCAGCAGUGGGGAAUAUUGGACAAUGGGCGCAAGCCUGAUCCAGCCAUACCGCGUGGGUGAAGAAGGCCUUCGGGUUGUAAAGCCCUUUUGUUGUGAAAGAAAAGCAGCAGGUUAAUACCCCGCUGUUCUGACGGUAGCCAAAGAAUAAGCACCGGCUAACUUCGUG